RNAcentral lists this ribosomal RNA (1217 nucleotides) under uncultured Rhizaria. Its description in RNAcentral is "SSU rRNA". It matches the Rfam family "Eukaryotic small subunit ribosomal RNA", at positions 577 to 1804 of the family's 1831-position model. The record is from RNAcentral.
CGGUAAUUCCAGCUCCAAUAGCGUAUACUAAAGUUGUUGCAGUUAAAAAGCUCGUAGUUGGAUUUCUGCGGGGACGGAGCGGCCGGCCGCAACUUGCGACUCGAGCUAGCGCUUUCCCCGCAUCCUGCCGCGAACCGUGCUACCAUUAGUUUGGUGGCGCUGGGGAUCGGCUCGAUUACUUUGAGAAAAAUAGAGUGUUCAAAGCAGGCCACACGCCUUGAAUAAGUUAGCAUGGAAUAAUGACUAAGGACUUUGGUUCUUUUCGUUGGUGUUCGGGACUGAAGUAAUGAUUGAUAGGGACAGUUGGGGCGGUCCGUAUUCCAAAGCGAGAGGUGAAAUUCUUAGACCUUCGGAAGACGAACAGCUGCGAAAGCGUUCCGCAAGGAUGUUCCCUUUGAUCAAGAACGAAAGUUGGGGGAUCGAAGACGAUCAGAUACCGUCGUAGUCUCAACUAUAAACUAUACCAGCUAGGGAUCGGCCAACGUUUAAUUAUUCGACUUGGUCGGCACCUUAUGAGAAAUCAAAGCAUCUGGGUUCCGGGGGGAGUAUGGUCGCAAGGCUGAAACUUAAAGGAAUUGACGGAAGGGCACCACCAGCCGUGGAGCCUGUGGCUUAAUUUGACUCAACACGGGAAAACUUACCAGGUCCGGACAUAGUAAGGAUUGACAGAUUGAUAGCUCUUUCUUGAUUCUGUGGGUGGUGGUGCAUGGCCGUUUUUAGUCGGUGGAUGUGAUCUGUCUGCUUAAUUGCGUUAACGGACGAGACCCCAGCCUGCUAAAUAGCGCGGCCGAGCUUUGCUCGGUGCGAGCUUCUUAGAGGGACCAUGAUGCGCGAUAGCACAAGGAAGUUUGGGGCAACAACAGGUCUGUGAUGCCCUUAGAUGUUCUGGGCCGCACACGGGCUACACUGGCGCCUGCAACGAGCAUAUCAGCUGGCCCGAGAGGGUCUUGGCUAAUCUUUGGAACCGGCGCCGUGCUUGGGAUUGACCAUUGCAAUUGUUGGUCAUGCAACGAGGAAUGCCUUGUAAACGCGAGUCAUCAGCUCGCAUUGAAUACGUCCCUGCCCUUUGUACACACCGCCCGUCGCUCCUACCGAUGAAUGUUCCGAUGAAAUUUUCGGAGAGCGCCGGAGAACGGGGCUCCGCCCUGCAGAACUGGAGGCUCAAAGUCACUUAAAUCUGAACAUUUCGAGGAAGGAGAAGUCGUAACAAGGUAACC